This 1730-nucleotide ribosomal RNA is filed under the name human gut metagenome. RNAcentral's name for it is "bacterial LSU rRNA". It matches the Rfam family "Bacterial large subunit ribosomal RNA", at positions 1101 to 2841 of the family's 2925-position model. The record is from RNAcentral.
UUGGCUUAGAAGCAGCCACUCAUUUAAAGAGUGCGUAAUAGCUCACUAGUCGAGAGAUCCUGCGCCGAAAAUGUACCGGGGCUAAACUUACCACCGAAGCUACGGAUUUGCAAGUAAUUGCAAGUGGUAGGGGAGCGUCGUAAUCGGGCUGAAGUCGUACCGGAAGGAGCGGUGGACUGAUUACGAGUGAGAAUGUUGGCAUUAGUAGCGAGAUGUAGGUGAGAAUCCUACAGGCCGAAUAUCUAAGGUUUCCUCAGGAAGGCUCGUCCGCUGAGGGUUAGUCGGGACCUAAGCCGAGGCCGAAAGGCGUAGGCGAUGGACAAUCGGUUGAUAUUCCGAUACCACUACCAUCGUUAUUAUCGAGGGUGUGACGGAGAAGGAUAGUGUGUGCUAGCGAUUGGAAAUGCUAGUCUAAGCGUUUAGGGAGUUACGGUAGGCAAAUCCGCUGUAACAAUUCUGAGGCGUGAUGGGGAAGGUCAUUAAGACCGAAGUACAUGAUUCCAUGCUUCCAAGAAAAGCAUCUAGAGAGAGAAGUAGUGCCCGUACCGCAAACCGACACAGGUAGAUGAGGAGAGAAUCCUAAGGCCGGCGGAAGAAUUGCAGUUAAGGAACUAGGCAAAUUGACCCCGUAAGUUCGCGAGAAGGGGUGCCUGCGAGAGCAGGCCGCAGAGAAUAGGCCCAAGCAACUGUUUAGCAAAAACACAGGUCUCUGCUAAAGCGUAAGCUGAUGUAUAGGGGCUGACGCCUGCCCGGUGCUGGAAGGUUAAGGGGAACACUUAGCGCAAGCGAAGGUGUGAACUUAAGCCCCAGUAAACGGCGGCCGUAACUAUAACGGUCCUAAGGUAGCGAAAUUCCUUGUCAGGUAAGUUCUGACCCGCACGAAUGGCGUAAUGACUUGGGCACUGUCUCAACUGCAAAUCCGGCGAAGUUGUAGUGCGAGUGAAGAUGCUCGCUACCCGCGAUUGGACGGAAAGACCCCGUAGAGCUUUACUGUAGCUUAGCAUUGAAUUCCGGUAUUGUCUGUACAGGAUAGGUGGGAGACUGGGAAACUAGGGCGUCAGCCUUAGUGGAGUCAACCUUGGGAUACCACCCUGACAGUACUGGGGUUCUAACAGGACGCCAUGAAGCUGGUGACUGGACAUUGUUAGGUGGGCAGUUUGACUGGGGCGGUCGCCUCCUAAAAAGUAACGGAGGCGCCCAAAGGUUCCCUCAGAACGGUCGGAAAUCGUUCGUAGAGUGCAAAGGCAGAAGGGAGCCUGACUGCGAGACCCACAAGUCGAGCAGGGACGAAAGUCGGGCUUAGUGAUCCGGUGGUACCUCGUGGGAGGGCCAUCGCUCAACGGAUAAAAGCUACCUCGGGGAUAACAGGCUGAUCUCCCCCAAGAGUCCACAUCGACGGGGAGGUUUGGCACCUCGAUGUCGGCUCAUCGCAUCCUGGGGCUGAAUUCGGUCCCAAGGGUUUGGCUGUUCGCCAAUUAAAGCGGUACGCGAGCUGGGUUCAGAACGUCGUGAGACAGUUCGGUCCCUAUCCGGCGUGGGCGUAGGAUAUCUGAGAGGAGCUGUCCUUAGUACGAGAGGACCGGGAUGGACUGACCUCUGGUGCACCAGUUGUUCUGCCAAGAGCAUGGCUGGGUAGCUAAGUCGGGAAGGGAUAAACGCUGAAAGCAUCUAAGCGUGAAGCCCCCCUCAAGAUGAGAUUUCCCAUAGCAUAAGCUAGUAAGACCCCUUGA